UGUAUUUUAUGUUCAUAUUUUCUGCAGUGGUCUUUCUGGGUCAAUAAAUUGUACCUUUGGACAACGGGCCUGAAAAAGGUUCUGGCUCUACUUUAUGCCUACUGUCAAAUGCAGCUCUUAUUUGAUAUCGUGGUCGGCUCAUGAAAGUCAAAGUACUUUCCCAUGUGUUAGGCAGAGUGAAAUCCAGGAUGUGGAUGUUCAUUUCAAGGGACUGUAUACAUGUUUUGACUGAUUCAGUUCAUAAGAUUUUGGACUCAUACAAAACAUUUAUUCUACCUUCAUAAAGAUACAAACAUACACAUUUACUUGCCUUUUCCAGUGCCACUUUGCAGAACACAACAUCAGGCUUAAUCUUGAAUUGUUACAAAAGAUCUUAGCAAACCUAAGUUGUUCAAUGGAUGUAGGGCCUUGUGUCAAAUCUUUUAUAUACUUCUCUGGAUAAACAGAGAGAAGUGGUUUAAAAAAAAAGGCAUCUGACAAUAACUCGUAUUCUGGGAAGUUACAUAAAACAGGAAACAUGCCAGUAAAGAGUUUCUUCCCUUUUAAGAUGUGUCCAAAUUAAAGGACAAUUGCCUUGGUUGACCAGAGAAAGAUUUCUUUGGUAGCUUGCCCACAAAAACAAUCCAAGAAUAAUGAGUGCAAGUAGCUGGACAAUAUUUUUCUAAAAACCAUUGCUUGAAAAAACAUCAUGGUUCUACAAAUGACCAGCAUGACUUUAUGUUCUGUGUUUAAAUAAUCCAGUAUUCAUUUCCCUGCUUUCCUUCUUUCUGAUUGUCCUUCCAUGGCAAUCUCCCUGUGGUGGGAAGAUCAUGUAUUUCAGUACCUCUGUGAAAAAAAAACCAAACUUAUCUUUCUUUUUUAUAUAAUAAAUUAGUCCAGGAUUCUUUAUUUUCAUUGUAGUGCUUUUGGCUCUGUGGUGAUGCAGUGAAACUCAGUAACUUUCUAUUUUUAUGUCUUAGUGGAUGUUUCUGCAUGCAGAAAACUUCCUAACUUCUAAACAUUAUGGAUUUGCUGGCUUUUAGUGCAUUUCUUGACAAUGUAAUUAGUCUUUCCUCCAGCUUUCUUUUUAUCAAGAAAUGGCACCUUUUUAAAGGAAAAGAGAAAACAAAAACAAAACAACCUGACUUGAGGUCUCGGUUCACACAGAGUUUCCUUUGCAGUAAGGGUGAAGAAAGACAUAGAACCUGAGUGACAGAUUAGAGGAUAUAAAAGCAGUCACCUGUCAACCCAAUCCAGCAAUGAAAUUCAGCAGCCUAUUGUCCCAAUCACUGCUUUCAAUCACUCUAAACGGUCUCCAGAGACAAUCAUUAUUAUAGGACAUGUUCCUAAGAGUAGAUAAAUGGAGCUCAACCUGCCAGCCUGCAUAGGGAAAGAUGGACAGUCUUGGCCAAAAAUAUGAAAGGGCCUGGAGCUUUAUUGACAUUUACAUCAAAAAUAGUUAGCAAUGAAAGCAGCUGUUGUGGAGAGCUUUCACCACAACGUGUUUGGAAUAUGCUGUGAAUUGAAAUACAGACCUCCUGACAAGCAAUUUACCUUCUGUCAUUCUCCAUGUGCUUGCAGCAUUACUGGGUACUUGCUGUGAUAGCCCACUUAAAGCUGCACAUGUGUACAGUUUGGAUGAAAGAUUAACUGCAAUUUGAGGCAGGAAGUAACGAAUUGUGGAGUGCCAUUCAUAAUGGCCGACAUUGUCAUCUGCAGGGUGACACCACAGCAAGAAGGUGCCUCUGUUGUGACGAGCUUAUAGAUUCAGAUGUCAUUCAUCCUAAUGAAGAUCUGCCUACAGUUCUAAUAAGCAGAGUGUGAGACAGCUCAGGAUUACAAGCAUUAAUCUGCCUUGUUUGUUGACAUUAACAUGAUGACUAAAAUGCCAUUAUGCAAGAAAUUCUUUCUAAAGCUAUUAAAAAGGGGCACUCUUAAUGUGAGUAUUACAGCCCAGAACAAAAGACGUGCCAGGAGUUAAUUUCUGUGUUUACUCUUGUCAUUUUCUACACCGUAUUGAUUUUUUUAUUCCUCAAAAUAACUUAUGUUGCACAAAAGUUUCUGUUAUUUCAUGAAUAUAGUACCACUUAUUGCAGCUGAAAUACAACCCACAUGCUGGUUUCCCCUAGCGCAAAACGUAAUCCAUUAACCCCCAGUGAUCAUAGCAGGUUGUGUUUAAUGCAAAUAACAAUAGGAUAAAUAUUUAGCUAUCAUUUUGUGAAAACAACAAACCUGAAUCAUGCCAAGCUUACUUAAAAGGAAGACUUAUGCUAAUAUUUAAUUUAAAUAAUUGACCUAAUAUGUAGGUAGAUUGGAUUUUCUUUUCAGCCAUACAAAUAAGCCAUUUUCAAGCUGAUGCAGUGCUCUUGACUAUGGGUGUCAAUGGAGACCUGCCAAGGCUGAUUUUUCCAAAGACAUCAAGUCUCUUACAAGUCAUUAUCAACGGGAAUUGAAAUAAAUCUGUGUGUAAAUCUGUGUUUAAAGAGGGCUAGAAGAAGGAUAUUAAGGGGUUUGAUCUUUAUCCCUGCAGAAGUAGAUGACAUAUAUAAAAAUGGAUUUGUGUGCCUGCCUUUACAACUAAGCUUAAGUAUCAUUUGCUAUCUAAAAACUGUAUUCACUAGCAAAAUCCAGGCAGCAAUCUAGUAUCUCAGAUAAGGGCUAAAAUAUUUUCACUGUAGAUACACACCUAAGACACACAGGUUUUAAAGGACAGUGAUGCAGAUGGGAGAUUUCUUUGCACUUGUACAUGCUUCAGCAUCUUGGUUUGUUUUUUGUUUUGCUGUUUGUUUUGGGGUGUUGGUUUUUUUUUUACACCUAGUUCUUAAAACCAACUUGAAAAUUCUUAAUUCUUAAUUUAUGUAAGACACAUUUCACCAGAACAUAGCUAUUGCUAUUUUUGCUGUCUGGAUGUGGAACAAAUUACACUCCUCAGUAAGAAAUUUGGGUUGAUGGUAGGUUAGUAAAAGAUCUUCUAAAAAAGUUAGUCAAAA
Pezoporus occidentalis (night parrot) is the source of this 2969-nucleotide long non-coding RNA. RefSeq lists it as uncharacterized. Lineage: Eukaryota; Metazoa; Chordata; Aves; Psittaciformes; Psittacidae. The record is from RefSeq and is a predicted model, not a curated record. The transcript has 2 exons.